RNAcentral lists this ribosomal RNA (449 nucleotides) under Enterobacter asburiae. RNAcentral describes it as "bacterial SSU rRNA". It matches the Rfam family "Bacterial small subunit ribosomal RNA", at positions 1008 to 1458 of the family's 1533-position model. Lineage: Bacteria; Pseudomonadati; Pseudomonadota; Gammaproteobacteria; Enterobacterales; Enterobacteriaceae. The record is from RNAcentral.
GGNUUGGUGCCUUCGGGAACUCUGAGACAGGUGCUGCAUGGCUGUCGUCAGCUCGUGUUGUGAAAUGUUGGGUUAAGUCCCGCAACGAGCGCAACCCUUAUCCUUUGUUGCCAGCGGUUAGGCCGGGAACUCAAAGGAGACUGCCAGUGAUAAACUGGAGGAAGGUGGGGAUGACGUCAAGUCAUCAUGGCCCUUACGAGUAGGGCUACACACGUGCUACAAUGGCGCAUACAAAGAGAAGCGACCUCGCGAGAGCAAGCGGACCUCAUAAAGUGCGUCGUAGUCCGGAUUGGAGUCUGCAACUCGACUCCAUGAAGUCGGAAUCGCUAGUAAUCGUAGAUCAGAAUGCUACGGUGAAUACGUUCCCGGGCCUUGUACACACCGCCCGUCACACCAUGGGAGUGGGUUGCAAAAGAAGUAGGUAGCUUAACNUUCGGGAGGCGCUACCA